UUUAACGAGAGUUUGAUCCUGGCUCAGGAUGAACGCUGGCGGCGUGCUUAACACAUGCAAGUCGAGCGAAGCACCUUGACGGAUUUCUUCGGAUUGAAGCCUUGGUGACUGAGCGGCGGACGGGUGAGUAACGCGUGGGUAACCUGCCUCAUACAGGGGGAUAACAGUUGGAAACGGCUGCUAAUACCGCAUAAGCGCACAGUACCGCAUGGUACGGUGUGAAAA
Molecule: ribosomal RNA, 225 nt
Filed under: Faecalimonas nexilis
Lineage: Bacteria; Bacillati; Bacillota; Clostridia; Lachnospirales; Lachnospiraceae
Description: partial 16S ribosomal RNA
Rfam family: Bacterial small subunit ribosomal RNA
Source: RNAcentral